AAUAGAUACCCAGGUAGUCCACGCCGUAAACGAUGGGUGCUAGGUGUGGGAGGUGUCGACUCCUUCCGUGCCGUAGCUAACGCAUUAAGCACCCCGCCUGGGGAGUACGGCCGCAAGGCUAAAACUCAAAGGAAUUGACGGGGCCCCGCACAAGCAGCGGAGCAUGUGGUUUAAUUCGAUGCAACGCGAAGAACCUUACCAGGGCUUGACAUGGUCGGGAAAACCGUAGAAAUACGGUCCUUCUUCGGGACUCGAUCACAGGUGGUGCAUGGCUGUCGUCAGCCCGUGUCGUGAGAUGUUGGGUUAAGUCCCGCAACGAGCGCAACCCCUGUCCCAUGUUGCCAGCGAGUAAUGUCGGGGACUCAUGGGAGACUGCCGGUGACAAAUCGGAGGAAGGUGGGGAUGAUGUCAAGUCAUCAUGCCCCUUAUGUCCUGGGCUACACACGUGCUACAUUGGCCGGUACAAAGGGCUGCAAACCUGCGAGGGUGAGCGAAUCCCAAAAAGCCGGUCCGGUUCGGAUUGAAGGCUGAAACUCGCCUUC
This 542-nucleotide ribosomal RNA is filed under the name uncultured bacterium. Its description in RNAcentral is "bacterial SSU rRNA". It matches the Rfam family "Bacterial small subunit ribosomal RNA", at positions 777 to 1319 of the family's 1533-position model. The record is from RNAcentral.